GUUAGCUCCCCUGUCAUGCAGCUAACGGAAGUGAUGGUAGAGCAUGUUUAAUGCCCACAACUUGAGUUUUAAUGCUUCAUUUAUUUCAAUUUUUACAGAAUGCAUGAAGCAUGGAGGACACAGAGGCUACAUUGGAUAGGCAGGCAUCGCUGGCAGCAAAACCUCUGACCUAGACAGGCAGAGGUUUUAAUUGUCGCCUCAACCAGGUAAAUGGAGAGGAGCCCUCUGAAGACAUCCACGAGCCGGCAGCUGAACUCCAUUACCUUAAGUGAAUUCUCAUGGAGGAUCCACAAGGACCCGGCUUGUGUGAGAGCGUAAGUGCUGGACGGCAUGUGUGAGCCUCUUCCAAACCACCCUCUUCAACGCCUAAAUUGCAUUUUAAUGUAAGCAGAGACCUCAGCGAGGACAUCUUACUGGACCACCAUGUGCAGGGUUAGGUGGAGUGAAAACAUUUUUUACAGCCAAUCAGAUGGCCUGAAAUCUUUGACUGGUUAAAUAUACAUUAGUGUCGCUCCAGUGUCCGUUCCUUGGAGGGCUUGUGCUAGUUAACCAUUCCACAUACUUUAUAUCAGGGAGUUGAGGACUGUAAGCUGAAUAUACAUAUAUCAUCACUCCAGA
This is a long non-coding RNA of Alosa sapidissima (American shad), 618 nucleotides long. RefSeq lists it as uncharacterized. Lineage: Eukaryota; Metazoa; Chordata; Actinopteri; Clupeiformes; Clupeidae. The record is from RefSeq and is a predicted model, not a curated record. The transcript is spliced from 3 exons.